Biomphalaria pfeifferi is the source of this 262-nucleotide non-coding RNA. NCBI's taxonomy places the organism in Eukaryota, Metazoa, Mollusca, Gastropoda, Planorbidae. The record is from the annotation of a GenBank genome assembly.
AUAAACAUACUUGUCUCAAACAGAAUGUUCUUUUUAGCUUUGUAAUAAACAAGUUAGAAAUCAUUAUUUAUCUCUGUGUACAUGACCUGUAGCAUACAAACAAAACGUGAUAUGAUGGAUCCAUUUGUUAAAGAUACUUACAUUUGUCUGUUAACUCUGGGCAUUAAAGUUUAAUGAGACCUGUUUAUAUUAUAAAACAUUUUCUUCAUAUCACACUUGCUUUGAGAUCUUGUUUAAUUUUAUUGGUGAUAUACUACACACA